AUGUGUGUCCCAAAAACUCAAGGAGGUAUGGGCUUCAGAGAUAUACACUGUUUCAACCUAGCAUUGUUAUCUAGACAAACGUGGCGACUUCUAGAUAAUCCUAAUUCUUUAUGUGCUACUAUAUUGAGAGCUAAGUAUUUCCCUGACUGUUACUUGGUGAAUGCAACUUUAAAAAAAGGCUCCUCCUUCACUUAGCAAAGUAUUAUGGCGGGAGUA
RNAcentral lists this ribosomal RNA (216 nucleotides) under Triticum aestivum (bread wheat). RNAcentral's name for it is "partial small subunit ribosomal RNA". Lineage: Eukaryota; Viridiplantae; Streptophyta; Magnoliopsida; Poales; Poaceae. The record is from RNAcentral.